RNAcentral lists this ribosomal RNA (492 nucleotides) under uncultured bacterium. RNAcentral's name for it is "partial 16S ribosomal RNA". It matches the Rfam family "Bacterial small subunit ribosomal RNA", at positions 29 to 507 of the family's 1533-position model. The record is from RNAcentral.
AGUGAACGCUGGCGGUAGGCCUAACACAUGCAAGUCGAACGGCAGCACAGUAAGAGCUUGCUCUUACGGGUGGCGAGUGGCGGACGGGUGAGGAAUACAUCGGAAUCUACUUUUUCGUGGGGGAUAACGUAGGGAAACUUACGCUAAUACCGCAUACGACCUACGGGUGAAAGCAGGGGAUCUUCGGACCUUGCGCGAUUGAAUGAGCCGAUGUCGGAUUAGCUAGUUGGCGGGGUAAAGGCCCACCCAGGCGACGAUCCGUAGCUGGUCUGAGAGGAUGAUCAGCCACCCUUGAACCGGGACCACGUCCCGGCUCCUAAGGGAGGGAGCAGUGGGGAAUAUUGGACAAUGGGCGCAAGCCUGAUCCAGCCAUACCGCGUGGGUGAAGAAGGCCUUCGGGUUGUAAAGCCCUUUUGUUGGGAAAGAAAAGCAGCAGGUUAAUACCCCGCUGUUCUGACGGUACCCAAAGAAUAAGCACCGGCUAACUUCGUG